RNAcentral lists this unclassified non-coding RNA (516 nucleotides) under Hevea brasiliensis (rubber tree). Lineage: Eukaryota; Viridiplantae; Streptophyta; Magnoliopsida; Malpighiales; Euphorbiaceae. The record is from RNAcentral.
UUUUAUGUACAUGCUAAUUAGAAACGAAACACAGAGAAAAAAAAUAUUCUUACAAAAAUUUCUUCGACUCUAACCAUCCAUUUCCUGAUCAAGUCCUGGACUCGAGGAAGAGACAUCAUUAGGAUCAGUUACUGAAGGUUGAUUUGAGUUCUCGUUUCUCCUAUUGAGAGAAAAACUGACCCAAAUUUCUCUUUCAAAUCUCCUUCUUCUCUCUCUCCCUUCUUCAUCAUCAUCACCAUCAUCUCUCUUCUUUCCUAAAUCCACCUCAUCAACAGGCAUCUUAUACCUGCAAACAGGGCAUGACCCAUGUAUCCCCAACCACUUCUCUAUGCAAUUAGGAUGAAACCUAUGCUUACAGGGCAUCUCCUUGGCCAACCCACCAACCUCCCACUCCUCUAAACAGAUCGCACACUCACCAUCCUGAUCUCCAAUUUCUGCAAUCUCCACACUAGGCAUGGCCUCUAUGGAUGCCUUUGAGGCAGGAGGUUGACCAUUCUUGCUAGCUAAGUCUCUAAG